AAGUCGUAACAAGGUCUCCGUAGGUGAACCUGCGAAGGGAUCAUUAAGCUAAGACCCGGGCCGGGGCCGGCGUCACCGCCGGCCUGUCGAGUAGCUGGGCAGUCUCCAACCCUUUGUGAACCACAACUCUGUUGCUUCGGGGCGACCCCGCCGUCACCGGCAGUGUGCUCCCGGCGGCCAACCAUGAAACUCUGCAUCUCUUUGCGUCGGAGUCUUGAAUAGAAUUCAAACAAAA
RNAcentral lists this unclassified non-coding RNA (235 nucleotides) under plant metagenome. RNAcentral describes it as "partial contains small subunit ribosomal RNA and internal transcribed spacer 1". The stretch from base 1 to 46 matches the Rfam family "Eukaryotic small subunit ribosomal RNA", at positions 1786 to 1831 of the family's 1831-position model. The record is from RNAcentral.